UUUUGACCUUCUUAACAUGUCUUCCUAUCAUGGUGACCUUCUUAACAUGGUUUCCGGAAGCGUACGGUGAUUUACUGGGCAUGCGCACAAGCUUUGAAACACAACCGCGAAACCGUUGUUGUUUUGUACAAGAUGAAGCCAGCUCGAGGUUCCUCCAGAGCAUCAACGCAGGGUCCUAAAGGCGCAGGUCGAGAUAGGAAAAGAUUACAGCAAAAACCAUUGUCUGAUGGUGAAAGUGCACAAGAUAAGCCAAGAAAGAAAGUACUUGCAGAGCCGAGAAAGGUGAAAGGUCAGGAAAAAUGGAAACCAUUGGCCAAGUCCUCCGUCAUGGUCCUCGACAACAUGCUGAGUUUGUCAAUACUAUCUGUUCUCCCAGUGAAAACAAAAGAAAAAGAGGAAUUGCAGAAGCACCUUAACUCAUUGAAAGACCAGUUUCUAGUUAAAUGUUCUCAACUCCCUGUGCCGCCUCAGAAACAUGGAAACAUGAUGCAUGUGUCCCAGCAGUUCAACACAGAGAACAGGAAGGUUAAGCAUGGCAAAAAGAAAAUCAAGGAAUUAGAGGAGACCAGCCAGGCGGUGGUUAGCGAACUGGAGCAGCUGCAGGUAAAGAUGGACCGUUUGGAGCAUGAGUGCAGGAUCACAAGGGACAAACUGAAGGAAGAAGAGUUAAAUGCACAGAAGGUGAGUCAGAUGUUUAGAAGCUGCUGUGCUGUUCGUGUCUGCUCUAAAAUUCACAGAGGAGCCAUCUUUGCUUUUGAAAUAAGACCAAAAGUUUAUUCAGCUGACUGAGCAAGCUGUUUUGCGCCUUCCUGCUUUACCACUUUAUCCUGAAGAUGAGCCCACAUUACAGGAGAAGAUCAUGAAAGUAGUGCCCGAUCCCAAAGCUGUCAUGAAGGCUCUUCAGAAAAGAAAAGUAACCGGGAAUGUAAAAGCCUUUUUGGAGUUGGCACAUAAGCGGAUGGAUCACCUGUGACUCACCCUGUAACUCCAAACAACUGGAUCAGUGUUUUCUAAUUUCUUUUUUUAAUGAGCAAAAAUUCCGUAACUCGAAGUGUAACUAUUCUCUGAUUUAAAACAUUGUUGACUCAGUUAUAAAUUACCAUCCUUGUUUAUUACAAUAAGAUCAUAAUAUCAUAAUACUUUAGAUGUUAAUCAAAAUCAAAUUAUAUUAACUUCAAAGUCACUGUUAUAACACAAGCAAGUAUAUAAGCAAAAAUAACAUAUCAACAUUUAUAGGGAACUGAAUUUUCAGAUUUUCCUUUUUCUAGUCCAGUGUAACUGAUCAGUCAAAUGAUCAGCUUUGUAUAAAUACAUGAUUUCCUGAUUGAAAUGAAUGUAAAUAAAGUGACAUUGUUAAUCUA
RNA transcript from Pangasianodon hypophthalmus (striped catfish), 1361 nucleotides. It is a transcript of the gene named centromere protein Q, with no coding region annotated. NCBI's taxonomy places the organism in Eukaryota, Metazoa, Chordata, Actinopteri, Siluriformes, Pangasiidae. The record is from RefSeq and is a predicted model, not a curated record. The transcript is spliced from 10 exons.